AAUGAACGCUGGCGGCAGGCCUAACACAUGCAAGUCGAACGAGGCAGCAAUGCCUAGUGGCGGACGGGUGAGUAACGCGUGGGAACGUGCCCCUUGGUACGGAAUAGCCCUGGGAAACUGGGAGUAAUACCGUAUGUGGUCGAGAGACGAAAGAUUUAUCGCCAAGGGAUCGGCCCGCGUUGGAUUAGGUAGUUGGUGGGGUAAUGGCCUACCAAGCCGACGAUCCAUAGCUGGUUUGAGAGGAUGAUCAGCCACACUGGGACUGAGACACGGCGCAGACUCCUACGGGAGGCAGCAGUGGGGAAUCUUAGACAAUGGGGGAAACCCUGAUCUAGCCAUGCCGCAUGAUCGAUGAAGGCCUUAGGGUUGUAAAGAUCUUUCAGUGGGGAAGAUAAUGACGGUACCCACAGAAGAAGCCCCGGCUAACUCCGUGCCAGCAGCCGCCGUAA
This 449-nucleotide ribosomal RNA is filed under the name uncultured bacterium. RNAcentral's name for it is "partial 16S ribosomal RNA". It matches the Rfam family "Bacterial small subunit ribosomal RNA", at positions 29 to 523 of the family's 1533-position model. The record is from RNAcentral.